CCUACGGGAGGCAGCAGUGGGGAAUAUUGCACAAUGGGGGAAACCCUGAUGCAGCGACGCCGCGUGAGUGAAGAAGUAUUUCGGUAUGUAAAGCUCUAUCAGCAGGAACGAGACAAGACGGUACCUGACUAAGAAGCCCCGGCUAACUACGUGCCAGCAGCCGCGGUAAUACGUAGGGGGCAAGCGUUAUCCGGAAUCACUGGGUGUAAAGGGAGCGUAGACGGCUGUGCAAGCCUGAAGUGAAAGGCGGUGGCCCAACCCCUGGACUGCUUUGGGAACUGUACGGCUGGAGUGCAGGAGAGGUAAGUGGAAUUCCUAGUGUAGCGGUGAAAUGCGGAGAUAUUAGGAGGAACACCAGUGGCGAAGGCGGCUUACUGGACUGUAACUGACGUUGAGGCUCGAAAGCGUGGGGAGCAAACAGGAUUAGAUACCCCAGUAGUC
This 441-nucleotide ribosomal RNA is filed under the name uncultured bacterium. RNAcentral describes it as "partial 16S ribosomal RNA". It matches the Rfam family "Bacterial small subunit ribosomal RNA", at positions 338 to 795 of the family's 1533-position model. The record is from RNAcentral.